RNAcentral lists this ribosomal RNA (497 nucleotides) under uncultured bacterium. RNAcentral's name for it is "partial 16S ribosomal RNA". It matches the Rfam family "Bacterial small subunit ribosomal RNA", at positions 28 to 507 of the family's 1533-position model. The record is from RNAcentral.
GAUGAACGCUGGCGGCGUGCCUAAUACAUGCAAGUCGAGCGAACAGACGAGGAGCUUGCUCCUCUGACGUUAGCGGCGGACGGGUGAGUAACACGUGUAUAACCCCCUUAUAAGACUGGUAUCAUUUCGGGAAACCGGCGCUAAUCCCGUAUAAUAUAUUGCACCGCAUGGUUCAAUAGUGAAUGACGGCUUUGCUGUCUCUUCUCGAGGGAUCCGGGCCGUAUUAGCUAGUUGGUAAGGUAACGGGUUACCACGGGGAGGAGGCGUAGCCGACGUGAGAGGGUGGUAGGCGGCACGGGAACGUGGACACGGUCCAGGCGCCUACGGGAGGGAGCAGUAGGGAAUGGUCCGCAAUGGGCGAAAGUCUGACGGAGCGAGGCCGAGUGAGUGGUGAAGGUCUUGGGAGCGUAAAGCUCUGUUAUUAGGGAAGAACAAAUGUGUAAGUAACUAUACACGUAUUGACGGUACCUAAUAAGAAAGCAACGGCUAACUACGUG